RNAcentral lists this ribosomal RNA (464 nucleotides) under uncultured bacterium. RNAcentral describes it as "bacterial SSU rRNA". It matches the Rfam family "Bacterial small subunit ribosomal RNA", at positions 30 to 472 of the family's 1533-position model. The record is from RNAcentral.
AUUGAACGCUGGCGGCGUGCUUAACACAUGCAAGUCGAACGUGAAAGUCCUUCGGGACGAGUAAAGUGGCGCACGGGUGAGUAACGCGUGGAUAAUCUACCCUUAAGAUGGGGAUAACGGCUGGAAACGGUCGCUAAUACCGAAUACGCUCCCGAUUUUAUCGUUGGGGGGAAAGAUGGCCUCUGCUUGCAAGCUAUCGCUUAAGGAUGAGUCCGCGUCCCAUUAGCUAGUUGGCGGGGUAACGGCCCACCAAGGCGACGAUGGGUAGCCGGUCUGAGAGGAUGACCGGCCACACUGGAACUGGAACACGGUCCAGACUCCUACGGGAGGCAGCAGUGGGGAAUAUUGCGCAAUGGGCGAAAGCCUGACGCGGCGACGCCGCGUGAGGGAUGAAGGUUCUCGGAUCGUAAACCUCUGUCAGGGGGGGAAGAAACCCCCNCGUGUGAAUAAUGCGAGGGCUUUGA